UAUUGGAGAAGAUUAGAAGUUGG
Molecule: non-coding RNA, 23 nt
Filed under: Cricetulus griseus (Chinese hamster)
Lineage: Eukaryota; Metazoa; Chordata; Mammalia; Rodentia; Cricetidae
Source: RNAcentral